UGGGGAAUUUUGGACAAUGGGCGAAAGCCUGAUCCAGCAAUGCCGCGUGAGUGAAGAAGGCCUUCGGGUUGUAAAGCUCUUUUGUCAGGGAAGAAACGGUGAAAGCUAAUAUCUUUUGCUAAUGACGGUACCUGAAGAAUAAGCACCGGCUAACUACGUGCCAGCAGCCGCGGUAAUACGUAGGGUGCAAGCGUUAAUCGGAAUUACUGGGCGUAAAGCGUGCGCAGGCGGUUUUGUAAGUCUGAUGUGAAAUCCCCGGGCUCAACCUGGGAAUUGCAUUGGAGACUGCAAGGCUAGAAUCUGGCAGAGGGGGGUAGAAUUCCACGUGUAGCAGUGAAAUGCGUAGAUAUGUGGAGGAACACCGAUGGCGAAGGCAGCCCCCUGGGUCAAGAUUGACGCUCAUGCACGAAAGCGUGGGGAGCAAACAGGAUUAGAUACCCGAGUAGUCCCUGAGCGGGCUGGCAAGGCG
RNAcentral lists this ribosomal RNA (469 nucleotides) under uncultured bacterium. Its description in RNAcentral is "bacterial SSU rRNA". It matches the Rfam family "Bacterial small subunit ribosomal RNA", at positions 355 to 822 of the family's 1533-position model. The record is from RNAcentral.